This 926-nucleotide ribosomal RNA is filed under the name uncultured bacterium. RNAcentral's name for it is "partial 16S ribosomal RNA". It matches the Rfam family "Bacterial small subunit ribosomal RNA", at positions 8 to 924 of the family's 1533-position model. The record is from RNAcentral.
AGAGUUUGNNCCNNNCUCNGAUUGAACGCUGGCGGCAUGCCUAACACAUGCAAGUCGAACGGUAACAGGCCCUUCGGGGUGCUGACGAGUGGCGAACGGGUGAGUAAUGCGUAGGAAUCUACCCAGUAGUGGGGGAUAACCCGGGGAAACUCGGGCUAAUACCGCAUACGCUCUACGGAGGAAAGCGGGGGACCGAAAGGCCUCGCGCUAUUGGAUGAGCCUACGUCGGAUUAGCUAGUUGGUGGGGUAAUGGCCUACCAAGGCGACGAUCCGUAGCUGGUCUGAGAGGACGAUCAGCCACACUGGGACUGAGACACGGCCCAGACUCCUACGGGAGGCAGCAGUGGGGAAUAUCGGACAAUGGGCGAAAGCCUGAUCCAGCAAUGCCGCGUGUGUGAAGAAGGCCUGCGGGUUGUAAAGCACUUUCGGUGGGGAAGAAAAGCUCGGGGCUAAUACCUCCGGGCCUUGACGUUACCCACAGAAGAAGCACCGGCUAACUCCGUGCCAGCAGCCGCGGUAAUACGGAGGGUGCGAGCGUUAAUCGGAAUUACUGGGCGUAAAGCGCACGCAGGUGGCUAUGCAAGUCGGAUGUGAAAGCCCCGGGCUUAACCUGGGAACUGCAUUCGAUACUGCAUAGCUAGAGUAUGGGAGAGGGAAGUGGAAUUCCCGGUGUAGCGGUGAAAUGCGUANAUAUCGGGAGGAACACCAGUGGCGAANGCGGCUUCCUGGNCCANUACUGACACUCAUGUGCGACAGCGNGGGGAGCAAACANGGAUUANAUACCCUGGUAGUCCACGCCGUANACGAUGAGAACUAGAUGUCGGANGGGAUUAGCCCUUCGGUGNCGNNNCUAANGCGUUAANGUNCUCCGCCUGGGGAGUACGGCCGCAAGGUUNNAANCUCAAANGNANUUGACGGGGACCCGC